GAAAUGCGAUAAGUAAUGUGAAUUGCAGAAUUCAGUGAAUCAUCGAAUCUUUGAACGCACCUUGCGCUCCUUGGUAUUCCUUGGAGCAUGCCUGUUUGAGUAUCAUGAAAUCUUCAAAGUAAAUCUUUUGUUAACUCAAUUGGUUUCUACUUUGGUAUUGGAGGUCUUUGCAGCUUCACACCUGCUCCUCUUUGUUCAUUAGCUGGAUCUCAGUGUUAUGCUUGGUUCCACUCGGCGUGAUAAGUUAUCUAUCGCUGAGGACACUGUAAAAGGUGGCCAAGGUAAAUGCAGAUGAACCGCUUCUAAUAGUCCAUUGACUUGGACAAUACUUUUAUGAUCUGAUCUCAAAUCAGGUAGGACUACCCGCUGAACGUAAGCAG
Molecule: unclassified non-coding RNA, 380 nt
Filed under: plant metagenome
Description: partial contains 5.8S ribosomal RNA, internal transcribed spacer 2, and large subunit ribosomal RNA
Rfam family: 5.8S ribosomal RNA (bases 1-105)
Source: RNAcentral